RNAcentral lists this transfer RNA (75 nucleotides) under Woeseiaceae bacterium. RNAcentral's name for it is "tRNA-His". It matches the Rfam family "tRNA". Rfam says of the family: Transfer RNA (tRNA) molecules are approximately 80 nucleotides in length. Their secondary structure includes four short double-helical elements and three loops (D, anti-codon, and T loops). Lineage: Bacteria; Pseudomonadati; Pseudomonadota; Gammaproteobacteria; Woeseiales; Woeseiaceae. The record is from RNAcentral.
GUGAACAUAGCUUAAUGACAAAGCCUCACGCUGUGACCGUGGAAGAUGUCGGUUAGAUUCCGACUGUUCGCCCCA